CCAUGCGUUUUGUGGCAUCUUUGAUGGAUCAAAACCUGUAUAAUAGGCAAAAGGUCUAUACCCUAUGCUGACAGGUGUGGGUAACCCAUUAAAUCCCAUAUGUGACGCGGAUCAGGUAUUGCAAUUAUUCCCCAUGAACGAGGAAUUCCCAGUAAGUGAGAGUCAGAAGCUCGUGCUGAUUAAG
This is a ribosomal RNA of Alligator mississippiensis (American alligator), 184 nucleotides long. It matches the Rfam family "Eukaryotic small subunit ribosomal RNA", at positions 1170 to 1649 of the family's 1831-position model. NCBI's taxonomy places the organism in Eukaryota, Metazoa, Chordata, Crocodylia, Alligatoridae. The record is from Rfam.